Molecule: ribosomal RNA, 158 nt
Filed under: Lachancea kluyveri
Lineage: Eukaryota; Fungi; Ascomycota; Saccharomycetes; Saccharomycetales; Saccharomycetaceae
Description: 5.8S ribosomal RNA
Rfam family: 5.8S ribosomal RNA
About the family: 5.8S ribosomal RNA (5.8S rRNA) is a component of the large subunit of the eukaryotic ribosome.
Source: RNAcentral
AAACUUUCAACAACGGAUCUCUUGGUUCUCGCAUCGAUGAAGAACGCAGCGAAAUGCGAUACGUAUUGUGAAUUGCAGAUUUUCGUGAAUCAUCGAAUCUUUGAACGCACAUUGCGCCCUUUGGUAUUCCAAAGGGCAUGCCUGUUUGAGCGUCAUUU